UGGGGAAUAUUGGACAAUGGGCGCAAGCCUGAUCCAGCCAUGCCGCGUGAGUGAUGAAGGCCCUAGGGUUGUAAAGCUCUUUCACCGGUGAAGAUAAUGACGGUAACCGGAGAAGAAGCCCCGGCUAACUUCGUGCCAGCAGCCGCGGUAAUACGAAGGGGGCUAGCGUUGUUCGGAUUUACUGGGCGUAAAGCGCACGUAGGCGGACUAUUAAGUCAGGGGUGAAAUCCCGGGGCUCAACCCCGGAACUGCCUUUGAUACUGGUAGUCUUGAGUUCGAGAGAGGUGAGUGGAAUUCCGAGUGUAGAGGUGAAAUUCGUAGAUAUUUGGAAGAACACCGGUGGCGAAGGCGGCCUUCUGGGCCACGACUGACGCUGAGGCGCGAAAGCUAGGGGAGCGAACAGG
Molecule: ribosomal RNA, 404 nt
Filed under: Verrucomicrobiota bacterium
Lineage: Bacteria; Pseudomonadati; Verrucomicrobiota
Description: Verrucomicrobia bacterium partial 16S ribosomal RNA
Rfam family: Bacterial small subunit ribosomal RNA
Source: RNAcentral